This 412-nucleotide unclassified non-coding RNA is filed under the name Hevea brasiliensis (rubber tree). Lineage: Eukaryota; Viridiplantae; Streptophyta; Magnoliopsida; Malpighiales; Euphorbiaceae. The record is from RNAcentral.
UCUCCCCGUGCCUGAGAAUUCUGAACAAGAACAUCAAUAGAGGCCAAAUAUGGAGCAACUGUCAGGGUUUUGUUUAUGAAGUGAACACGGUCUUGGAUCUUUUUCUCCUGAACAAAUUUACGCAGCUCUGUUUCAAACUUUGUCUGAGCAUUCAUGUCACUUCCAACAACUACUGCAUGCACUGAUGGCACCUGCAGCUUCUUCUCUUGGAUCAGUUGCAGACUCUCAUAAAAAGAACGAAGAAAGAGAUCCUGACCUUUUCCACGUGAAACGCUAUUUAUGAUGGCAAACAGUAAAUCAUCAUUUCUCACUCCAAUAGAUUCCCGAACAUGCUCACGCAGAACACGUUUGGCCACAGUAUCUUCAGCCACUUGCAUGAGGUCUUUGCUAUUUCCAAGAUGCACAACAUAAG